CGAGGAACAGAUGGGUGGGAUAACGUCCUUGGUCGAGACACAAGUGAAGCCACAUAAUCAUUAAAAUAGGAACUAGCAGCAUGAUGAACCUCACUGGGUGACAAAACUUUAUUGACCCACAAUCUUUCAUUCCUGGCAUGCCAUAACUUCCAUGCAUGUAUAGCCAUACGUGCAGUCUAUAAGAUUAAAUAGUAAAAUAUUUAACGAUAAAAUUAAAGAAAAAAAUUAACUAAUACACUUUUUAAAACAUCAGUUAUGUUUUCAUAUAUUUUUUAAAAUAAAAGAAAUAAUUAAUAAAUUGUAUAGCAGUCAAAUUAAUUAGUUUUUAUUGAGUCUAGCGGAAGGUAAAAGCUGUGCAUAUUUCUAAUCAUAGCGCAUAAAUCUAGUAGAAGUUUAUAUCAUUACUAAGUGAAUACAUGUGCUAUGCACAAAUUAAUAUAUUAUUUAUUUAUUUAAUAUAAUAUUUUCACGAAUUUUCCAUUAUAUUCAUUUUUAAAUUUGUAUAUUAUAUUUUAAAUUUUAUAAUUUGUUAUAAUUAUAUUUAACUAUAGUUAAUUUUGACUAUCACAUUUGUCAUAACACAUAAAAUUAAAGUAUAUUUUUUUUAAAAUAAAAAAUUUAAUCUGAGCAAAAAUAGUAAAUACUCAUUAUCAAACUAUAACAUAUUUACAACCAAGUUUUUUGUUUUUGUUUUUUUCUUUUUCGAGAAGGAUAUACAACCAAGUUAACAUAAUAGAUAUUACCUAUACUCACUCGAAGGGAAGCGGCUGACCCAUUGCAGCAACGUGGGGUGGGGGGACUUGUCUUCAUGCUCCACUGCUUCGUAGGUAUGGCUAUUUUGACUGAUACUCUAUGAUAGUAACACAAGUGCUACAAAGACCUGCAACGUCGAAAUGGGCAGUCAUCAUCCCUGGUCUGGCACGAUGGAGGGAGGGAGGCGGUGGAAAUGAGAAGAGCAGCACUGGAAAUGAAAUUUCUAUUUGGAAUCGACAAUGAUGGCUUGUGAUUCUGUAACCUUAGAAUGAAAAUGAGUACUCUGAUUUCUUGCAGCAUUAAAUCUCUACUGUUGAAAGAAUACCUAGAUGUUCUUCCGUGAGAGGAAAUCUAUUCUAUUAACGGGUUGGGUGAGGAUUGACAGAGAGUACGUGCUAUAGGUUUGGGGUGUCGAUAAAGAUGGAGAGUGGUGGAGAAAUGGAUGAAGCUGUACAAGUGAAGAGGGCUCUGGUUUUGGGUAUCGUGGCGAUGAGGAGGAGCUGGAGGUGGCGAAGAGUUGGGUUUAAAAAGAAAGGAACUGAGACAGUGGUGGGAGCAAGGGUGUUGAAAGGGGAAUUGGCAGCGUCAUAGAAAAGGAAAUGAGAGAAGGUGCUGAUGGGAGACCGUGGGUAUGGUGAGUCUAGUGAUUGAAGGAGAUAGAAAUUGAGGGAGGAGCUGGUUGGUGAGCUUGAGAUGGAGCAAAGGUAUCAAGUGGAGGUGUGUUGAGGAAGGAUGGUGCAAAGGUUGACGGGAC
Molecule: long non-coding RNA, 1507 nt
Filed under: Manihot esculenta (cassava)
Lineage: Eukaryota; Viridiplantae; Streptophyta; Magnoliopsida; Malpighiales; Euphorbiaceae
Description: long non-coding RNA (MESC_LNC002011)
Source: RNAcentral